This 235-nucleotide ribosomal RNA is filed under the name uncultured bacterium. Its description in RNAcentral is "partial 16S ribosomal RNA". It matches the Rfam family "Bacterial small subunit ribosomal RNA", at positions 96 to 334 of the family's 1533-position model. The record is from RNAcentral.
UGGCGGACGGGUGAGUAAUGUCUGGGAAACUGCCUGAUGGAGGGGGAUAACUACUGGAAACGGUAGCUAAUACCGCAUAACGUCGCAAGACCAAAGAGGGGACCGUUCGGGCCUCUUGCCAUCGGAUGUGCCCAGAUGGGAUUAGCUAGUAGGUGGGGUAACGGCUCACCUAGGCGACGAUCCCUAGCUGGUCUGAGAGGAUGACCAGCCACACUGGAACUGAGACACGGUCCAG